RNAcentral lists this long non-coding RNA (259 nucleotides) under Lathyrus oleraceus (garden pea). RNAcentral describes it as "Pisum sativum (pea) long non-coding RNA (PSAT_LNC020547)". Lineage: Eukaryota; Viridiplantae; Streptophyta; Magnoliopsida; Fabales; Fabaceae. The record is from RNAcentral.
AAAUAAAAAACAAAUCAUAUGCACAAACAUUGCAUGCAUCAUAUGCAUAAGAAGGUUUUGUUCCCGGCUUCUUGUCCUGUGGUCUAACUUUGUGCUCUUCAUUUAUUUUGAAGACAAGCUGACUCACUGGUACUACACCAGAGCCAACAUUUCAACACUGAUGGAUCAUCUGGAAUAAGAGAACCGCAAGCUGAAAGAGGAGGUGGCCAGAUUAAGUGCCUUGAUGGAGUCAUUCAUGGCUGCCCAUAGCCAGUCUUCU